This 122-nucleotide ribosomal RNA is filed under the name Aureococcus anophagefferens. RNAcentral's name for it is "partial small subunit ribosomal RNA". It matches the Rfam family "Eukaryotic small subunit ribosomal RNA", at positions 1706 to 1827 of the family's 1831-position model. Lineage: Eukaryota; Pelagophyceae; Pelagomonadales; Pelagomonadaceae. The record is from RNAcentral.
ACCUCCGGACUGGGGUUCGCAAGCUUCACGGCGAACGUACCUCGGGAAGUUGGUUAAACCUCACUAUUUAGAGGAAGGUGAAGUCGUAACAAGGUUUCCGUAGGUGAACCUGCAGAAGGAUC